Molecule: ribosomal RNA, 492 nt
Filed under: uncultured bacterium
Lineage: Bacteria
Description: partial 16S ribosomal RNA
Rfam family: Bacterial small subunit ribosomal RNA
Source: RNAcentral
AGUGAACGCUGGCGGUAGGCCUAACACAUGCAAGUCGAACGGCAGCACAGUAAGAGCUUGCUCUUACGGGUGGCGAGUGGCGGACGGGUGAGGAAUACAUCGGAAUCUACUUUUUCGUGGGGGAUAACGUAGGGAAACUUACGCUAAUACCGCAUACGACCUACGGGUGAAAGCAGGGGAUCUUCGGACCUUGCGCGAUUGAAUGAGCCGAUGUCGGAUUAGCUAGUUGGCGGGGUAAAGGCCCGCCAAGGCGACGAUCCGUAGCUGGUCUGAGAGGAUGAUCAGCCACACUGGAACUGAGACACGGUCCAGACUCCUACGGGAGGCAGCAGUGGGGAAUAUUGGACAAUGGGCGCAAGCCUGAUCCAGCCAUACCGCGUGGGUGAAGAAGGCCUUCGGGUUGUAACGCCCUUUUGUUGGGAAAGAAAAGCAGCAGGUUAAUACCCCGCUGUUCUGACGGUACCCAAAGAAUAAGCACCGGCUAACUUCGUG